GUCGUAACAAGGUUUCCGUAGGUGAACCUGCGGAAGGAUCAUUACCACACCUCUUUUUAUUAGUAUAACUAAUGAAAGCUUUCGGGUUUUCAUCAAGUGUACUAACAAAAAAAACAAGAGAAAGAUGCGAGAAUGUAAAAACUCUCAAGUCUGACUUUUGCGUCCCACGGAACUAAACUAUUUUAUACUUGUGUUAAUAUGUCCUCGGAUAUAUUAACACAUUUAUAAUACAAACAAAAUAACAUUUCAUAUGUUGAUCUGAUUAUGAUAUUCAAUAAUUAGGAGUCAAUUCGUUUAUUCGACUUGAUGACUAUAUAAAAAUUAAUGAAAAAACACUUUCAGCAACGGAUGUCUUGGCUCCCAU
Molecule: unclassified non-coding RNA, 364 nt
Filed under: fungal sp.
Lineage: Eukaryota; Fungi
Description: partial internal transcribed spacer region
Rfam family: Eukaryotic small subunit ribosomal RNA (bases 1-44)
Source: RNAcentral